GAAGUGAUGAAGGAAAGAACGGAUGAGCAAUUGUGAUACAAUAGGACACUUACGUGGUCAACUCACAAAUGCUCAUCCGUUCUUUCCUUCAUCACUUCAAAUGAUGCAAAAUAUAAAAUCCAGCCUAAUAGAACAUUUCAAUACAACAUGAUAACCAGCACAGUAGUCUAUGUAAACAAAUAGAAUAAGAGCACAUCUCAAGCCUGUUGCACUGGCAGAAAUUUUUAAUAU
RNAcentral lists this unclassified non-coding RNA (231 nucleotides) under Hevea brasiliensis (rubber tree). Lineage: Eukaryota; Viridiplantae; Streptophyta; Magnoliopsida; Malpighiales; Euphorbiaceae. The record is from RNAcentral.